This 497-nucleotide ribosomal RNA is filed under the name uncultured bacterium. Its description in RNAcentral is "partial 16S ribosomal RNA". It matches the Rfam family "Bacterial small subunit ribosomal RNA", at positions 28 to 507 of the family's 1533-position model. The record is from RNAcentral.
GAUGAACGCUGGCGGCGUGCCUAAUACAUGCAAGUCGAGCGAACGGACGAGAAGCUUGCUUCUCUGAUGUUAGCGGCGGACGGGUGAGUAACACGUGGAUAACCUACCUAUAAGACUGGGAUAACUUCGGGAAACCGGAGCUAAUACCGGAUAAUAUUUUGAACCGCAUGGUUCAAAAGUGAAAGACGGUCUUGCUGUCACUUAUAGAUGGAUCCGCGCUGCAUUAGCUAGUUGGUAAGGUAACGGCUUACCAAGGCAACGAUGCAUAGCCGACCUGAGAGGGUGAUCGGCCGCACUGGAACUGAGACACGGUCCAGACUCCUACGGGAGGCAGCAGUAGGGAAUCUUCCGCAAUGGGCGAAAGCAUGACGGAGCAACGCCGCGUGAGUGAUGAAGGUCUUCGGAUCGUAAAACUCUGUUAUUAGGGAAGAACAUAUGUGUAAGUAACUGUGCACAUCUUGACGGUACCUAAUCAGAAAGCCACGGCUAACUACGUG